Molecule: ribosomal RNA, 114 nt
Filed under: Zingiber officinale
Lineage: Eukaryota; Viridiplantae; Streptophyta; Magnoliopsida; Zingiberales; Zingiberaceae
Source: RNAcentral
GCGAUCAUACCAGCACUAAUGCACCGGAUCCCAUCAGAACUCCGAAGUUAAGCAUGCUUGGGCGAGAGCAGUACUAGGAUGGGUGACCCCCUUAGAAGUGCUCGUGUUGUACCU